Molecule: unclassified non-coding RNA, 223 nt
Filed under: plant metagenome
Description: partial contains small subunit ribosomal RNA, internal transcribed spacer 1, and 5.8S ribosomal RNA
Source: RNAcentral
UUUCCGUAGGUGAACCUGCGGAAGGAUCAUUAAAGAGAAUAAGCCCUUCGGGGUAGAUCUCCCACCCUUUGUUUAUAUUACCUUUGUUGCUUUGGCAGGCCCUUCAUCGGACCACCGGCUUCGGCUGGUCAGUGCUUGCCAGGGGACCCAAAACUCUUAUUAUUAAUGACGUCUGAGUACUAUAUAAUAGUUAAAACUUUCAACAACGGAUCUCUUGGUUCUG